AUCUAUUGAGCAGAUGGAUUGGCUUUGAUUCAAAGACGCUGCCGGACGAGGAGGAGCAACCCAUGGUUGUCCCCACUACCGGACGAGGAGGAGCAACCCAUGGCUGUCUCCACUACCGGACGAGGAGGAGCAACCCGUGGCCGUUCCUUUUUCCUCCACUGUGUUCGUACCACGAGCGCGCUAAUUGGUCUGUUGCCGAACGGGUGCAAGAGGUGGCCGACAUCGCCACCAUCGUCAAAUCCCUCCCAAGCCCGGAUCUGCUCCUCUACGGCACCUGCUCAGGUGUUCUUCUCGCUGCGGAGCUGAACGCAAAUCGAUGCCGGCCUAAGCCCCAUCUCUCGAGCACAUCCCGCCGCUGAUCUCUCCCCGCCCCCUGCCGCUACAGCAAAGAUCAGCGUCGCAUCCCCUUAUCUUCCCUAUAAUUCUUUCGUAUGGCGACAUAUGCGAUGACCAAGCUUCCUCUGGUUGUGACACCGGUGUGCGGGACGGGUGGUCGUCCUGCUCAAGGAAAAGAACGCGGCUGAGACAGGCUCAACGACGGUUGGCGGCUAGCUGAUGUGGUGGCCAGUCUCUGGCUCGCGGGCGUCCAGGCGCUCGAAAACUCGAAUCCCUCAAGUGGUGCAAACUCCGCAUCAUGGACAACAGGUCGAGCGCCCGCGGCAGCAAGCCGUCAUCCAACCCAUCCGGAAGAAGACGAUUGUGUUUCUACCCUUCGUGAAGAGAUAAAAACUGUUGCAGUGGUAAUAUGGAUUCAGAAGUGACGAGAUGCUCCACACUUUGUCGUAACUCAAUCUGCCGGUUCUUUGUUUGAGGUACGUACUGAAGCUAACCUUGCAAGAGGCAGGCAAGGAAGGUAUGAUUGUUGCUGAAGCCGAGCUCAUAAACGUCUCACGUCAUGUGGUUCUGUGCUAUUUUGAAUCUUCUUUAAAGUGUGUAGUUUCAGUUUCACACGAAAAUCUGUUGCGCUCGCAGUGUGUACAAUGUACAGUUUACCGACGUGCAUAUGUGUUCAUUUGAGUGCACUUCAGUUUACCAUUUUUUUACCAAUGCAUGUUCAACAUAAUGUCUGUAUUUGCGCCCUCCAAACCUGAAAAUUCCUACUUUUGGUUAAUAAAUCAUGUUGUUCAGAACACGAGCAACCUUUAAGUAGCAAUUCUGUUAUGUUUCGGAAUUUACUUAAAAUUAAAAUUUGAAAAGAGCAUGAGUUUUGGGCUUUAUUCUUCACCAUGACCUUUUACUCCUGUAACCAUAGCUUCCAUCGUCAUUACCUUAGAUUUUUCCUUUUUCCAUUUGUUCGGCAAAGAGAAGUCUUCUAGCGUCAUUGCCUUAGUUUAUUUUUUCCUUAUGUUUGGCAAAGAAAAGUGACAUGCAUUUUAAAUCGUUGGAAGUAAGCUUUGAUGUGUUGUGAGGACAAUUAAUGAUGUAUCUUCAUCUGCAUGAAGAACGAAGAAUUUUCAUGAUUUUGUAUAUCCUUCAGUUGCUUGCUGUAACCUGAAGAAUUCACAAGCAUUCAUAUGUAGCAAUGAGUAGAAUUAAUAUGUAGCACUGAGUCCCUAUAUGUACAUUUAUACAUGAGAGGUGUUUGGGCAUGAGUCAAUUGGUUGUAUCAACAGGUAGCAAGUCUUCUGCAGAGUUGACAAGAAAUAUAUUAUUAGUGAUUACUUGAACUCUUUUUUAUUAUUGCUACUGAUUUUCGCAUUAUCUAGUUACUCCAUCAAUGAAUCACCCUUUAAUCCUAUCUUCAUGUAAGGUUAAACUUCUAUUUUUGUUUCCCUAAGAAAAAACUUCAAUUUUUGUUGCUAUAGUAGAAAAUUGAUGGCACAACUGAAUUGGCCGAUGUUGAGGAUUUCAAAAAAGCAAAAUGAUCUUAAUCUGGAGCCAUCACAUGUCACCAACCAUCUCAACAUUAUCUCGGGUUUUGAAAUGCUCUGAAUUGGUUGUUUAGGGUAUAAUUGGUGAUCCAUUGCCAUCACCUCCGUCACCAACCACGUUGACAUUAUCUUUGAGUUCUGAACUGAUGAAUGAAGAAAAGUUUCAUUGGAUGAUGAUAAGCAACUGGAGGAACAUAAACUUGUCAGCUUGAUGUAACAUAUGACUAUCUCCCACAAGAUGAAGGACUGGGGCAACAUCGGCUAUUCUUUGAGAUGGAAGGGAAAUUUCAUCGCAUGUCAAUGCAAAUUUAUUCCUAUCACAGCAGAUGCAAUCACUACUGAAGCUCUGGCGAUGAGAGAUGGUCUUUUAUUUGCUAAUUCUCUUGGCUUUAAUUGGAUAGAGGCGGAAUCUGACUCUCUCAUACACGAUGGUGGGACGAAGCAGCGACGGUGUUUGUGGAGUGUGUGGACAUAGUCUCUUCAGUUGAAAAGGUUAUCUUUAAGCAUUGUUUACGUUCUUGUAAUCAAGCAGCUCAUGUGCUAGCGAAAUUUAGUUUCUGUAAUAAGUACUCUCUUAGUUGGUUGGAUGAGCCUCCUGACUAUUUGGUGAAGGAGCUCGUGGAUGAUGUAAACGUUAUUUCUACUCAA
This is a long non-coding RNA of Triticum aestivum (bread wheat), 2519 nucleotides long. RefSeq lists it as uncharacterized. The record is from RefSeq and is a predicted model, not a curated record. The transcript is spliced from 3 exons. Lineage: Eukaryota; Viridiplantae; Streptophyta; Magnoliopsida; Poales; Poaceae.